CUGUAUGAAUGGCAUAACGAGGGUUUAACUGUCUCCCUCCCCCAGUCAAUGAAAUUGAUCUGCCCGUGCAGAAGCGGACAUAAACACAUAAGACGAGAAGACCCUAUGGAGCUUUAGACAAAAGAUCAAACAUGUAAAGAAACCAAACCAACCAAAAGGAACACAAAGGCCACAAAACCCAACGUAAAAUGAUCAAAAUGUCUUCGGUUGGGGCGACCAUGGGGGAAAGAAAAGCCCCCACGAGGAACUAAGGGCAAUCCAUUAAGCCAAGAGAUACACCUCUAAGCAACAGAAAAUCUGACCAAAAAUGACCCAGGACACUAAUCCUGAUCAACGAACCAAGUUACCCUAGGGAUAACAGCGCAAUCCUUUCCCAGAGUCCAUAUCGACGAAAGGGUUUACGACCUCGAUGUUGGAUCAGGACAUCCUAAUGGUGC
This 437-nucleotide ribosomal RNA is filed under the name Anguilla marmorata (giant mottled eel). RNAcentral describes it as "partial 16S ribosomal RNA". It matches the Rfam family "Bacterial large subunit ribosomal RNA", at positions 1988 to 2556 of the family's 2925-position model. Lineage: Eukaryota; Metazoa; Chordata; Actinopteri; Anguilliformes; Anguillidae. The record is from RNAcentral.